GGAUUUCUAAGACAACUAGGAUGUUGGCUUAGAAGCAGCCACUCAUUUAAAGAGUGCGUAAUAGCUCACUAGUCGAGAGAUCCUGCGCCGAAAAUGUCCGGGGCUCAAACUUACCACCGAAGCUACGGGCUCAAGUUUACUUGAGCGGUAGAGGAGCGUCGUAAUCGGGCUGAAGUCGUACCGUAAGGAGCGGUGGACUGAUUACGAGUGAGAAUGUUGGCAUUAGUAGCGAGAUGUAGGUGAGAAUCCUACAGGCCGAAUAUCUAAGGUUUCCUGAGUAAAGUUUGUCUUCUCAGGGUUAGUCGGGACCUAAGGCGAGGCCGAGAGGCGUAGUCGAUGGACAAUUGGUUGAUAUUCCAAUACCACUAUAAUCGUUAUUAUCGAUGGUGUGACGGAGAAGGAUAGGAUGUGCCAGCUAUUGGAUGCUGGUCUAAGCGUUGAGGGAGUUAGAACAGGCAAAUCCGUUCUAACAAUCCUAGGGCGUGAUGGGGAAGGUUCCACGGAACCGAAGUAUCUGAUUUCAUGCUUCCAAGAAAAGCAUCUAGAAAGAGAAGUAGUGCCCGUACCGCAAACCGACACAGGUAGAUGAGGAGAGAAUCCUAAGGCCGACGGAAGAAUCACAGUUAAGGAACUAGGCAAAUUGACCCCGUAACUUCGGGAGAAGGGGUGCCUACCAUUUGGUAGGCCGCAGAGAAUAGGCACAAGCAACUGUUUAACAAAAACACAGGUCUCUGCUAAAGCGUAAGCUGAUGUAUAGGGGCUGACGCCUGCCCGGUGCUGGAAGGUUAAGGGGAACACUUAGCGCAAGCGAAGGUGUGAACUUAAGCCCCAGUAAACGGCGGCCGUAACUAUAACGGUCCUAAGGUAGCGAAAUUCCUUGUCAGGUAAGUUCUGACCCGCACGAAUGGCGUAAUGACUUGGGCACUGUCUCAACUGCAAAUCCGGCGAAGUUGUAGUGCGAGUGAAGAUGCUCGCUACCCGCGAUUGGACGGAAAGACCCCGUAGAGCUUUACUGUAGCUUAGCAUUGAAUUUCGGUAUUGUCUGUACAGGAUAGGUGGGAGACUGGGAAAUUAGGGCGUCAGCCUUAAUGGAGUCGUUGUUGGGAUACCACCCUGAUAGUAUUGAAGUUCUAACUGGAUGCCAUGAAACUGGUGACAGGACAUUGUUAGGUGGGCAGUUUGACUGGGGCGGUCGCCUCCUAAAAUGCCAGCAGUUCAGCGUUGCCGACGCCGGAGCGUUGCAGGAUCUGCGGUGAAGCAAUCGCGCCUGCACAUAACAGCACUUCUUUAUUCGCCGCCGCGCGGGUCGGAAUGGUGCUGUCGCCUUCCAGCCACUCGACGCCCACCGCGCGUUUGCCGUCAAAAAUGAUGUGAUCGGUCAUGGCGUGAGUACGAAUGGUCAGGUUAGGGCGCGAUUUGGCCUGAUCGAGAUAGCCACGCGCGGUGCUGGCGCGACGGCCAUGCGGCGUGACGGUGCGAUCCAUCGGGCCAAAACCUUCUUGCUGAUAGCCGUUGAGAUCGUCCGUGCGUGGGUAGCCUGCCUGCAUGCCCGCUUCAAUCAUCGCUUCAAACAGCGGAUUGACGCCGGGUUUGGAGGUGAUGACGCUCACCGGGCCAUCGCCACCGUGGUAAUCGUUCUC
This 1640-nucleotide ribosomal RNA is filed under the name human gut metagenome. RNAcentral describes it as "bacterial LSU rRNA". It matches the Rfam family "Bacterial large subunit ribosomal RNA", at positions 1078 to 2450 of the family's 2925-position model. The record is from RNAcentral.